Molecule: ribosomal RNA, 274 nt
Filed under: uncultured bacterium
Lineage: Bacteria
Description: partial 16S ribosomal RNA
Rfam family: Archaeal small subunit ribosomal RNA
Source: RNAcentral
AAACCAGCACCUCAAGUGGUCAGGAUGAUUAUUGGGCCUAAAGCAUCCGUAGCCUGCUUUGUAAGUUUUCGGUUAAAUCCAUAUGCUCAACAUAUGGGCUGCCGGAAAUACUGCACAGCUAGGGAGUGGGAGAGGUAGACGGUACUCGGUAGGAAGGGGUAAAAUCCUUUGAUCUAUUGAUGACCACCUGUGGCGAAGGCGGUCUACCAGAACACGUUCGACGGUGAGGGAUGAAAGCUGGGGGAGCAAACCGGAUUAGAAACCCCGGUAGUCC